UUUUAGUUGCCAGGCCAUCCCUCAAGUACUCUGGAGCUACAUAGCCAUAGGUUCCAACAACUCGUGUUGCAGAGGCUUCUGCAUCAUUAGUUAUCCCCAUAAGUUUUGACAAACCAAAAUCUGAAAUCUUUGCUCUAAAAGAAUCAUCAAGCAGGAUGUUACUUGUCUUUAUAUCUCGAUGCACAUAAUGCGGCUUGGUGUGCUCAUGAAUGUAUUCCAGGCCUCUAGCAGCAUCAAGUGCAAUUUGGACCCUCAUGAUCCAAGAGAGUGGUGUGUGGCCUUUGUUCUGAGGGUCAUUCAAGUGGCUUUUAAGAGAACCCUUCUGGGCAUAUUCAUAAACGAGGAAUAAUUCAUCAUUACUGACUGCAUAGCCGAUCAAUUCUACCAAAUUCAAAUGAUGAACUUUACAUAGAACUUUCAUCUCAGCAGUAAAUUCUUUUGUUUUAGUAGCAGUCAUUCUUUUGAUUGCAACUUCCUGGUUGCGAAGAAUGGCGUAAUAGACAGAACCAUAGGUUCCAUGACCAAGAAGAUUGGAGUCAGAAAAUCCAUCAGUAGAAGAUAGAAUGUCUUCAUAGGCGAAAACAAGAGGUUUUUCCAUAUCAAAG
This 605-nucleotide unclassified non-coding RNA is filed under the name Hevea brasiliensis (rubber tree). Lineage: Eukaryota; Viridiplantae; Streptophyta; Magnoliopsida; Malpighiales; Euphorbiaceae. The record is from RNAcentral.